GUCCUAUGACAGACACGAUCAAAGACAGAGGAAUCAUCCCUGAAUCCAACUAUGCCUUUUCUGGCAUAGAGAAGAGUGAAGGGUCUUCUCGUCUCCAUGUGUCCAAUGAAUUUUAACGGUUGAAUUCGUUGGAACCCUGCUCCAGAAGCGAAUAGAUGCUCCGUAAAGGAAAAGCGCCACGGGCGAAGAUUUGAAAUCACUGAAAAUUCCGAAAAAAAAGUUACUUCAUCAGCUCUGGUCACAUGUCACACACCAAUCAGAUUUGUGUGAUUACAGAUUUACGCAACUAUAAUAAAACGGACAUCAUAUUUUUUGGUUAUUGCGGUCUGGGUUUUUCAUGGGGAGACAAUUUGCUUGGAAGGAUAGGGCAGCCAGAUUCAAACUGAGAUAUCUUAAAGACACAUAAAUCCAUCAUAUGAUCUCUAAUCAGCUCUGUUACGUUGCGCCAGAUGUUGACUCAUAAAGUCAGCAAUUUACAAACGGUCUGGAAAUCGGGAAUAUCAGUGUGAUGCCCAUAAACGCGGCUAGCCCAAAUCGAUUGGCUGCCUGAUCAUUCAAAUACGUCGAAAAGUCUAUUUUAAUGUCAUUUAUUUAAUUUUUUUUUUAAAUCAGCUAAAAUUGAAUAGAUCUAAGUAGAGACAGAAAGAUCUCCGCUUGCUCUGUCUACAAGCAUUGAACUGGGGAAAGCCAAUCGGCACAUUCGUAUAAUCGGACAAAUAAUGGCUUGACACUUAGAAAAAUGGUUGAAAAAGCGCCGGCCAAAGUUUUACUCUAUUAUAAGCCUGCCUGCCUCUGUUCCCUCUUAAACAUAGACUGUAUUUUCUAGUUAAUUGCUUAACGAUAACAAUAAACUAUAGUGUAAUGCGUCAUGUGGCUGAAUAUUCCUAUAGCUACCAUGAAUGUAUGCCUACAUUCAUAGUAAACGGCAUUUCUUUUCUGUAAUACUCUUGUACCGUGCGUCCUGUUGCUAGGAUCUUUUUUCAAUAGAAUUCGACUCUUUUCGGUUUCAUGUUCUAUGCGGCGCUUGCGUCGCACAAACCCUCUCCUUAAGAGAUAUAAGCAAUCUGUUUUAAAGGACCAUGGUCUCUUCUUGAGGAGACUAGUGAAAGCGAUUUCGAAAGGACAAAUUCACAAAGCACACUGCUUAGCCGAUGAUGAAGUUGAUCACGUUAAGUCUUCUUUUAGCGUCGUUAGUCGCUGCGGCUUUCGGCGAGGCUGAUUUGAAGGUGUCCGAUGCCGUCAAAUUUGCGGUCGCUCAAGCCAAAACCAUUAAACCAUCUGCUGUGUUGGUAAAAGAUCGGGGCGUAACGAAACCCAGUUCCACAGAAAGGCGAUAUAGGGUUCUUCUUAUGAUCGAUGGAAUACCGUGUGAGAUAGAGGUGAUCGAGAAAGAAGUGCGUAUUGGGUUUACCCGUGAUACAGAACCGUUUAAGACCGUCAAAAAUACCGCGAAGAACUGUGUCCUCUGUUGUUGAAAACGGAAUAAUUCGAUGUAAUCACAGGCAAGCUGUGUGAUCGUUGAAGUGAUAGUAAUAAAAUUCGUUUCCGGUUAUGAACAGAUA
Non-coding RNA from Varroa destructor (honeybee mite), 1562 nucleotides. The record is from RefSeq and is a predicted model, not a curated record. NCBI's taxonomy places the organism in Eukaryota, Metazoa, Arthropoda, Arachnida, Mesostigmata, Varroidae.